RNAcentral lists this unclassified non-coding RNA (337 nucleotides) under soil metagenome. RNAcentral describes it as "partial contains 5.8S ribosomal RNA, internal transcribed spacer 2, and large subunit ribosomal RNA". The stretch from base 1 to 120 matches the Rfam family "5.8S ribosomal RNA", at positions 35 to 154 of the family's 154-position model. The record is from RNAcentral.
GAUGAAGAACGUAGCGAAAUGCGAUAAGUAGUGUGAAUUGCAGAAUUCAGUGAAUCAUCGAAUCUUUGAACGCACAUUGCGCCCCUUGGUAUUCCAUGGGACAUGCCUGUUCGAGCGUCAUUUGUACCUUCAAGCUCUGCUUGGUGUUGGGUGUUUGUCUCGCCUCUGCGUGUAGACUCGCCUCAAAACAAUUGGCAGCCGGCGUAUUGAUUUCGGAGCGCAGUACAUCUCGCGCUUUGCACUCAUAACGACGACGUCCAAAAGUACAUUUUUACACUCUUGACCUCGGAUCAGGUAGGGAUACCCGCUGAACUUAAGCAUAUCAAUAAGCGGAGGA